AGAGUUUGAUUCUGGCUCAGGAUGAACGCUAGCGACAGGCUUAACACAUGCAAGUCGAGGGGUAACAGGGUAGCAAUACCGCUGACGACCGGCGCACGGGUGAGUAACGCGUAUGCAACCUGCCUAUAACUGGGGAAUAGCUCCCUGAAAGGGGAAUUAACACCGCAUAACACUAUUGAUUCGCAUGGAUUAGUAGUUAAAUGUAGCGAUACAGGUUAUAGAUGGGCAUGCGUGACAUUAGCUAGUUGGUGAGGUAACGGCUCACCAAGGCUACGAUGUCUAGGGGUUCUGAGAGGAAGGUCCCCCACACUGGUACUGAGACACGGACCAGACUCCUACGGGAGGCAGCAGUGAGGAAUAUUGGGCAAAUGGGGGCAACCCUGACCCAGCAACGCCGCGUGAAGGAAGAAGGCUUUCGGGUUGUAAACUUCUUUGACGAGGGACGAUAGUGACGGUACCUCGAAAACAAGCCACGGCUAACUACGUGCCAGCAGCGGC
Molecule: ribosomal RNA, 498 nt
Filed under: uncultured bacterium
Lineage: Bacteria
Description: bacterial SSU rRNA
Rfam family: Bacterial small subunit ribosomal RNA
Source: RNAcentral